This 420-nucleotide ribosomal RNA is filed under the name Triticum aestivum (bread wheat). RNAcentral describes it as "partial small subunit ribosomal RNA". Lineage: Eukaryota; Viridiplantae; Streptophyta; Magnoliopsida; Poales; Poaceae. The record is from RNAcentral.
AUGGUCAGGCAGAGGUACAAGGGUAAAGCUGUGGCAGAUGAUAGCUCGGACACAUCAAGCAGCGACAGCGACGGUGACUUUGCUGACCGGCAUGAGAUGCUCGCUUGCCGGCGUCAGAUUGCCGAGUUACGAGUGAAAACCCUAGAUGGAAAUCAGGUCAAUGACGUUGGAAGACAAGUGCCAGUCAGAAUUGGAGAUGGCGUUGAGAAUGGGAACAAUGCUGGUACGAUCUCUUCUGCCACAAGAAGCUCGAUGAGCAAUAAGCACUGGGAUCCCAUAAGCACUAGUAACGGAGGCAAAGGCUAUAACUUUUGUGUUGUAUACCAUCAAGUAGCAAAAGUUGAUGCUGUUUGGCAAUGCUUGUUGAACAAUGAUUAUUUUAGUCCAUAUUUAGCCUGGCAUCUGAUGUACCAAAAAUGA